CUUUCAGGUGCAGAUGCAUUGCAUCCAUGGCAGAGCCCCCCAUCCUGGGUGAGGGGGUUCCCACAAGCAGGAAGUAUAGCUGGAUCCCAGCAGUCAAGUUCAAGAGAGCAAGGCAAUCCACUCGGAGCACGCCAAGCUCCCAUCCCCACCCGGCCGACGGACCGAAUUUUUCACCCUGAUGAGCCCCGUCUUCCGGGUAGCAGUCAGGAACCACCGAGGAGUUGCGGCGUACCCCACGAC
Molecule: non-coding RNA, 240 nt
Organism: Agelaius phoeniceus (red-winged blackbird)
Lineage: Eukaryota; Metazoa; Chordata; Aves; Passeriformes; Icteridae
Source: RefSeq, a predicted model, not a curated record